GGCCUAGUUAUAUAUACAUGACAUCAUCCUUCAAGUUAAAGAUGUUAGAGUGUCUUUAAUCUUAAAUAAUGUUUUAUGUGAGAAUUGAUUCAAUUCCAUUCUACUUUCAACUCCAAAAUAUACUUACUCCAUAUUUGUUAAUUAUUCCAUUCUCAGUCCAAAAAUGGAGUAAGGUUGGAAUAAACUCAACUCUAUUAUAGAGUUGCUAUAUUUUGGAGGAAAAAAAUAUAGUUUCAUAUUAGAGAUGCUCUUUUGUAAAUAACAUCAUUAGCUUAAUUUUCCUAAUGAGAGACAGGAGCGUGGACAGUAGUGAUGUGGACGUUGGAGAUGUUAACUCUG
Molecule: long non-coding RNA, 339 nt
Filed under: Brassica napus (rape)
Lineage: Eukaryota; Viridiplantae; Streptophyta; Magnoliopsida; Brassicales; Brassicaceae
Description: long non-coding RNA (BNAP_LNC012635)
Source: RNAcentral